This 72-nucleotide transfer RNA is filed under the name Camelus bactrianus (Bactrian camel). It matches the Rfam family "tRNA". From Rfam's summary of the family: Transfer RNA (tRNA) molecules are approximately 80 nucleotides in length. Their secondary structure includes four short double-helical elements and three loops (D, anti-codon, and T loops). RNAcentral also lists the same sequence under 2 other names. Lineage: Eukaryota; Metazoa; Chordata; Mammalia; Artiodactyla; Camelidae. The record is from Rfam by way of RNAcentral.
GAGGGUAUAGCUCAGUGGUAGAGCCCAUGCUUAGCAUACACCAGGUCUUAGGUUCAAUUCCCAGUACCUCCC